AUUUAUAUAGUUUAAAGAAAACACUACAUUUUCAAUGUAAAAAAAAUAAGUAAAAAUAUUUAUAAAUA
RNAcentral lists this transfer RNA (68 nucleotides) under Proscopia sp. HS-2014. Its description in RNAcentral is "tRNA-Glu". The record is from RNAcentral. Lineage: Eukaryota; Metazoa; Arthropoda; Insecta; Orthoptera; Proscopiidae.